This 430-nucleotide ribosomal RNA is filed under the name uncultured Glomus. RNAcentral describes it as "eukaryotic LSU rRNA". It matches the Rfam family "Eukaryotic large subunit ribosomal RNA", at positions 1 to 428 of the family's 3401-position model. Lineage: Eukaryota; Fungi; Glomeromycota; Glomeromycetes; Glomerales; Glomeraceae. The record is from RNAcentral.
GACCUCAAAUCAGGUAAGAGUACCCGCUGAACUUAAGCAUAUCAAUAAGCGGAGGAAAAGAAAAUAACAAUGAUUCCCUUAGUAACGGCGAGUGAAGGGGGAUAAGCUCAAAUUUUAAAUCUGGCUAGGUUUUACCUAUCAGAGUUGUAUUUUGAAGAAGCGUUUUCCGCGUCUCGGUUGGCCCAAGUCCUUUGGGAUAAGGUAUCAUGGAGGGUGAGAAUCCCGUUCGGUUGACCUUAUGACGCUUUACGAUACGCUUUCAAAGAGUCGAGUUGUUUGGGAUUGCAGCUCAAAAUGGGAGGUAAAUUUCUCCUAAGGCUAAAUAUCGGCGAGAGACCGAUAGCGAACAAGUACCGUGAGGGAAAGAUGAAAAGAACUUUGAAAAGAGAGUAAAAUAGUACGUGAAAUUGUGAAAGGGAAACGAUUGAAG